RNAcentral lists this ribosomal RNA (332 nucleotides) under uncultured bacterium. RNAcentral describes it as "bacterial SSU rRNA". It matches the Rfam family "Bacterial small subunit ribosomal RNA", at positions 568 to 898 of the family's 1533-position model. The record is from RNAcentral.
CGCGUAGGCGGUGCGGUAAGUCACCUGUGAAACCUCCGGGCUCAACUCGGAGCCUGCAGGCGAAACUGCCGUGCUGGAGUGUGGGAGGGGUGCGUGGAAUUCCCGGUGUAGCAGUGAAAUGCGUAGAGAUCGGGAGGAACACCUGUGGCGAAAGCGGCGCACUGGACCACAACUGACGCUGAGGCGCGAAAGCUAGGGGAGCAAACAGGAUUAGAUACCCUGGUAGUCCUAGCCCUAAACCAUGGAUGCUUGGUGUAGCGGGUACCCAAUCCCGCUGUGCCGCAGUUAACGCGAUAAGCAUCCCGCCUGGGGAGUACGGUCGCAAGGCUGAA